UACUCGAGUGGCGAACGGGUGAGUAACACGUGGGUGAUCUGCCCUGCACUUCGGGAUAAGCUUUGGGAAACUGGGUCUAAUACCGGAUAGGACCGCACUUUAGUGUGUGUGGUGGAAAGUUUUUUCGGUGUAGGAUGAGCUCGCGGCCUAUCAGCUUGUUGGUGGGGUAAUGGCCUACCAAGGCGGCGACGGGUAGCCGGCCUGAGAGGGUGUACGGCCACAUUGGGACUGAGAUACGGCCCAG
RNAcentral lists this ribosomal RNA (244 nucleotides) under uncultured Actinomycetales bacterium. RNAcentral's name for it is "partial 16S ribosomal RNA". It matches the Rfam family "Bacterial small subunit ribosomal RNA", at positions 88 to 334 of the family's 1533-position model. Lineage: Bacteria; Bacillati; Actinomycetota; Actinomycetes; Actinomycetales. The record is from RNAcentral.